Molecule: non-coding RNA, 440 nt
Organism: Grammomys surdaster
Lineage: Eukaryota; Metazoa; Chordata; Mammalia; Rodentia; Muridae
Source: the annotation of a RefSeq genome assembly
CCUUCAAAGACAUCUGCCAGGAGUCUAAGAAGCAUCCUCUCUUCCAGCUCUCAGAGAUGAAACCAGACACACUCCUGCUAUGGAUGCUGCUCCUCUGGGUUCCAGGUUCUGGUGGGGACAUUGUGCUGACCCAGUCUCCAGCUUUGUUGGCCAUGUCACUCGGUCAACAGGCCACCAUUUCCUGCAAGGCCAGUCAGAGUGUGCAUGACUUUACUUUUGGCAUUAGUUUUAUGCAUUGGUACCAACAGAAACCAGGACAGCCACCCAAACCCCUCAUCUACACUGCGUCCAACCUAGAAUCUGGCGUUCCUGCCAGGUUCAGGGGCAGUGGGUCUGGGACAGACUUCACUCUCACCAUCAAUCCUGUGGAGGCUGAUGAUGCUGCAACCUAUUACUGUCAGCAUAGUAAGGAGCUUCCUCCCACAGUGCUCCAGGGCUGA